UUUGGAAGAAGUCAAAUUCAAGUCCACACACAUUUUUUUCUUCUUUCUUAAUUUGUCCAUCAAUUUUACAUUAAAUUUGUGUAAUGAUUCGCUUCGAUUAUUAUGAGUAAGUCAAUAGUGAAAGAAUCAAGUUGGAAAUUUUUUUGAUUAGUAAUUUAAAUUUUUUAGGCUAGACUAGUGUUAGACGACAUCUGAGCCAGGUGAGGUGUAGGGAUAUUCAAAAAUGUGUUGAGUGAUAUGACUAGUCUUGGGUUACGUUCCCUAGUCACCAAGACAUUGUGAAUCCAUAAGGCCAUUCAGAAUUAAAUUUGGGUGAGUAAAACUUUUUGUAUCGAAUUUGUCGUGAAGCUCUUGGUUUAGAACGUCAAUAUUCGAAGGUGUACAUGUUGUAAAAUGAGGAUUUGAGGGAUUAUAUAUAUGAGGUUCUGCCUCCGUGCAAGCCGCUAUAGCGGGAUGAAUUAAUUCAUACAUCUGCUAUAGCGUGUUGGGCCGCUAUAGUAGACUUAGUCAAGAUUUUGUGCAGAAAAACCACAAAAAACUCCCAAUUUUCGCAAUUUUAUUCUCAAGACUUGGAAGAGCGAUUUUGGACAACUUCCGUUAGUAAUUCCACCAAAUUCUUCGCAAAGAUUUUGAACUCGAAUCUUCGUGAUUUAUCUUUUUCCUAUACUUCGCAUGAGGCUUUUCUAUGGAGACUUGAACGGUAGCUCAACGACCCUCUUGCUGAUCCUUUGCUAUGUUCUUGUUCUACUCUAUAAACAAAGACAUUGAGAUUAUUUGUAUUUCAUUUUAAUUAGUUGUAAUACAAAAGAGGCUUGUACACAUGUGACAAUCAUGUUUUUGGGGUAUCAUUGAGAUUGACUAAA
Molecule: long non-coding RNA, 863 nt
Organism: Solanum lycopersicum (tomato)
Lineage: Eukaryota; Viridiplantae; Streptophyta; Magnoliopsida; Solanales; Solanaceae
Source: RefSeq, a predicted model, not a curated record